This 406-nucleotide ribosomal RNA is filed under the name uncultured bacterium. RNAcentral describes it as "partial 16S ribosomal RNA". It matches the Rfam family "Bacterial small subunit ribosomal RNA", at positions 30 to 526 of the family's 1533-position model. The record is from RNAcentral.
AUUGAACGCUGGCGGCAGGCCUAACACAUGCACGUCGAGCGAGCGGCGGACGGGUGAGUAAUAUCUGGGAAACUGCCCGAUAGAGGUGGAUAACUACUGGAAACGGUAGCUAAUACCGCAUACUAUCAGAUGUGCACAUAUGGUAUUAGCUAGUAGGUCAGGUAACGGCGCACCUAGGCGACGAACCCUAGCUGGUCUGAGAGGAUGACCAGCCACACUGGAACUGAGACACGGUCCAGACUCCUACGGUAGGCAGCAGUGGGGAAUAUUGCACAAUGGGCGCAAGCCUGAUGCAGCAAUGCCGCGUGUGUGAAGAAGGCAGUAGGGUUGUAAAGCACUUUCAGCGGGGAGGCGUUACCGGCAGAAGAAGCACCGGCUAACUCCGUGCCAGCAGCCGCGGUAAUUC